UGGGAUGUGGCCAAAUGGUAAGGCACCUGUUUUUGGUACAGUAGACUGUAGGUUCGAAUCCUACCAUCCCAGCCA
This 75-nucleotide transfer RNA is filed under the name Ascidiaceihabitans donghaensis. RNAcentral's name for it is "tRNA-Gln". It matches the Rfam family "tRNA". Rfam says of the family: Transfer RNA (tRNA) molecules are approximately 80 nucleotides in length. Their secondary structure includes four short double-helical elements and three loops (D, anti-codon, and T loops). Further hydrogen bonds mediate the characteristic L-shaped molecular structure. tRNAs have two regions of fundamental functional importance: the anti-codon, which is responsible for specific mRNA codon recognition, and the 3' end, to which the tRNAs corresponding amino acid is attached (by aminoacyl-tRNA synthetases). tRNAs cope with the degeneracy of the genetic code in two manners: having more than one tRNA (with a specific anti-codon) for a particular amino acid; and 'wobble' base-pairing, i.e. permitting non-standard base-pairing at the 3rd anti-codon position. RNAcentral also lists the same sequence under 3 other names. The record is from RNAcentral. Lineage: Bacteria; Pseudomonadati; Pseudomonadota; Alphaproteobacteria; Rhodobacterales; Paracoccaceae.